GUGGAAAUGCCUCUGCACUGCAGAACUUUCAGUUUCAAGAUUUUGCAAAUUUUAUGAGACUUUUCAGGCAAGCUGAUUUUUAGCUCCCCAUUUCCCCUCCAGCUAAAAUCAAAAUCUUUCAUCCAGCUCUGAUCUCAGAGGGACUUUAUUCUCAGCACUUGGGACAUGAUUAAAUAACAAGCACACGUGCACACACCAGCCCCGAAUCCUUUUAUUUCCUAGAUCUUUCUUCAGUAAUGAAGCCUGAAAUGGAAAACUACUGUGCAGAGAAACCAUAGCUGCAAGAGAAAGAGGACUAGACAGUGCACAGCUCGGCUUCUUCUGGGCAGAGGGUACAGCAAGUUCUGAACAGAAAGGAGGUUUCAGUGAAGUAUGAAAUGAAACAAAUC
This 389-nucleotide long non-coding RNA is filed under the name Fukomys damarensis (Damara mole-rat). Its description in RNAcentral is "lncRNA (ENSFDAG00000031949.1)". Lineage: Eukaryota; Metazoa; Chordata; Mammalia; Rodentia; Bathyergidae. The record is from RNAcentral.